This 300-nucleotide ribosomal RNA is filed under the name uncultured Desulfurococcus sp. RNAcentral describes it as "bacterial SSU rRNA". The stretch from base 52 to 300 matches the Rfam family "Bacterial small subunit ribosomal RNA", at positions 547 to 795 of the family's 1533-position model. Lineage: Archaea; Thermoproteati; Thermoproteota; Thermoprotei; Desulfurococcales; Desulfurococcaceae. The record is from RNAcentral.
GGUAACUGUGGGCAGGAGGGCGCGGUAAUAGGGUGGGGUGGGGGUGGAAGGGGAAUGAGGGGGCGUAAAGGGGGGGCAGGCGGCAGAGCAAGUCGAGUGUGAAAGCCCCGGGCUUAACGUGGGAAUUGGGCUCGAAACUACGUUGCUGGAGUGUGGCAGAGGAAGGUGGAAUUCCACGUGUAGCGGUGAAAUGCGUAGAGAUGUGGAGGAACACCAAUGGCGAAGGCAGCCUUCUGGGCCAACACUGACGCUCAUGCACGAAAGCGUGGGGAGCAAACAGGAUUAGAUACCCGAGUAGUC